This 312-nucleotide ribosomal RNA is filed under the name uncultured bacterium. Its description in RNAcentral is "bacterial SSU rRNA". It matches the Rfam family "Bacterial small subunit ribosomal RNA", at positions 28 to 339 of the family's 1533-position model. The record is from RNAcentral.
AAUCAACGCUGGCGGCGUGACUUAACACAUGCAAGUCGAGCGGUAAGGCCCCUUCGGGGGGUACACGAGCGGCGAACGGGUGAGUAACACGUGGGUGACCUGCCCUCAGCUCUGGGAUAAGCCUGGGAAACUGGGUCUAAUACCGGAUAUGACUCCAUGACGCAUGUCGUGGGGUGGAAAGCCUUGUGCGGCUGGGGAUGGGCCCGCGGCCUAUCAGCUUGUUGGUGGGGUGANGGCCUACCAAGGCGACGACGGGUAGCCGGCCUGAGAGGGCGACCGGCCACACUGGGACUGAGACACGGCCCAGACUCC